Long non-coding RNA from Corvus hawaiiensis (hawaiian crow), 1646 nucleotides. RefSeq lists it as uncharacterized. NCBI's taxonomy places the organism in Eukaryota, Metazoa, Chordata, Aves, Passeriformes, Corvidae. The record is from RefSeq and is a predicted model, not a curated record. The transcript is spliced from 2 exons.
GCCUCCUUCCAGUCUCUCUUCUCCAGAUAUGCAAGGAUGAUCUCAAACACUGCAACAUCAAAAAAGCCCAUCAGCUCUGUUACAGGGAGAACUCACCAUGAUUGACAGCUAACACUUUCCGACUGUUCAUUUUGACAAAGUUUCCAAGUGGGAGCUGUGCAUGACCAAUUCCCUGCUCUACAGCUUUUUUGUAAGUAAUUCCCUGGGGAAAAGACACCAAAACAAGUGGAUUGAAAAUCACCGUUUCAGAUCAGCCCAUACAGAUUUACUAUGAGUAUGGUUUUCUGGCAGGAGGGUCACCUGUGCUGCCAUGAUGUUGCUUCAGAAGUUGGUUACAAAAAGAAACUUACCCUGGUUCGACAGUACCUCAACGGCUACAACCGCGGGCAAACUCACUACUUUCUAUAUAUGUCACACUGUGACCUGUGGUCAAAAGGACUGUAAAUGAAACCUGUUGACACAGCUCAGCUCUAGAACCACCAGCCAUAGCCUGCUUUUAAACGCGAGCUUAUGUUAAAGUACAAAGUUAUUCAGGUUGUAGUCACAUGGUAUUUUUUCAGAGGAAGAGUAAAGGAUAAAAAAACUCUGGAACACUAGCCACUGCUACCACCACAAGCUUUUUUCACAUUUCUUCAACAUUUUUUGGAAUUCUUUUUUGAAGACGUUUUCUCAUUAUUAUUUAUGUUAGCUUACACAUGAACAGCAAUAAUAUCAAAUAAGGUGCCAAAAAAAAAAAAGAUGCAAAGAAACAGACCCACAGUUUACCUUGUGGUGAUUGUGAUCCACCAGUCCUCCAAUCACAUAGGCUUUCUUCUCAUCAAGCUCUCUGAGAACAUCUGGGGAAUCUGAGGUAAGAUAUACUAGGUCUUCUUUCUUUAUUAGCUCACUAUAGUGCUCUGUUCUAAUUUGGAUAUCCUCAAAAAAAGGUAGUUAAAAGAAGUUACAUUCAAUUGCUGACCAAGCUUUACAGACCCAAGAUGGGACUGGCAAAAAUAAAUCCAAUAGUAUGUGGUCAUUCCACAUUCCUCCUUCAUGUUCAAAUACACAGCACAGUGCAGAUUAAUUUUCUGCAUAAACAAUCCCAUCCCUAUAGCACUGACUUGUAAAAAUCAACAGGAAAUUUUCUGAAACCCCGAAAGAACUUUACAAAUCCUUAAGUUCUUGUGAUUCCCUUCAAAUGUUACCAUAUUUCUCCUACAGAUCCAAAUAAUUUUCAAGUCCACUAAAAAAAGUGAACCCAGAAGCAAAUGCUUAGUUAACAUUAAUUGUUCAGUAAGAGAGGUUUAUGCUAUGCUCUCAUGAAGCAGCUAUUGCACGAGAACUGCUGAAAACUGGACUGGUUUUAUUUAUUCUAAAUGCUCUUCCUUUGAAGUUGUUGGAAUAGUGGCUUAACAGGGAGUCACAAGGAAAACCAACAUGAGUUUGUCCAUAAGAGAAGCUACUUCUCUGAAGAACAUUUCAGUGCUGAGGCAACGUGAUGGAAGUGAAGGUGCACAUGAGAGAAUCACAUCGUGACUUGGAAGUCUUAUUCUGGACAAGAAAAAAAGAGCACUGUCAAGACAGACAACUGCUGGAACUGCCUAAAUCAAGGAGUCCUGCUUUGUUUAUCAAGCAUGGAAUUUGUUCAAUAAAGACAAGUGAAAAUA